AGAAGAAGAAGAAGAACACCUUUUCACGACACUGAGAGUCAUCUGAGUAAAUGUUUGUUGUGAAUCUGCACGGGUUUGUGUGUGUGUGUCUGUUUCUA
Budorcas taxicolor (takin) is the source of this 98-nucleotide small nucleolar RNA. RefSeq annotates it as small nucleolar RNA snoR126. The record is from RefSeq and is a predicted model, not a curated record. The transcript has a single exon. Lineage: Eukaryota; Metazoa; Chordata; Mammalia; Artiodactyla; Bovidae.